RNAcentral lists this ribosomal RNA (504 nucleotides) under uncultured bacterium. Its description in RNAcentral is "bacterial SSU rRNA". It matches the Rfam family "Bacterial small subunit ribosomal RNA", at positions 1 to 507 of the family's 1533-position model. The record is from RNAcentral.
ACGAGUUUGAUCCUGGCUCAGAGCGAACGUUUGCGGCGGGCUUAACACAUGCAAGUCGAACGAGAAUCCCUUCGGGGAGGAAAGUGGCGCACGGGUGCGUAACACGUGGAUAACCAACCCAUUGGUUUGGGACAACACCGGGAAACUGGUGCUAAUACCAGAUGUGUCGCAGCUGUCUUCAGGCGGUUGCGAGAAAGGCCCGCAAGGGUCGCCAACGGACGGGUCCGCGUCCCAUCAGCUAGUUGGUGAGGUAAUGGCUCACCAAGGCAAAGACGGGUAGCUGGUCUGAGAGGAUGAUCAGCCACACUGGAACUGAGACACGGUCCAGACUCCUACGGGAGGCAGCAGUGGGGAAUAUUGCGCAAUGGGCGAAAGCCUGACGCAGCCACGCCGCGUGAGCGAUGAAGGUCUUCGGAUCGUAAAGCUCUGUGGGGGGAGAAGAAGAAAGCCGGUGAAGAGCCGGCCCUGACGGUAUCCCCUUAGCAAGCACCGGCUAACUCCGUG